Phlebotomus papatasi is the source of this 971-nucleotide long non-coding RNA. RefSeq lists it as uncharacterized. The transcript is spliced from 2 exons. The record is from RefSeq and is a predicted model, not a curated record. Lineage: Eukaryota; Metazoa; Arthropoda; Insecta; Diptera; Psychodidae.
UUUAGCAAAUUCUCUAUAGAGAAUUCAAAAAUCGAGCGUGAGGGCGGCGCGAGCGGUUGCGCGAAGAACUAGUAGCGAACUACUAGCGAAUCUGGCGGAAAAACAAUCAAAACCUCUUCUGACAGUUCCCACGCGAAGCAAUUUCCUCGAAUUAACUUGCGCAGUUCUUGUGGAAAAAUCGGGAAAAUAUUGAAGAAAGUCCCGUAAAACCCAGUGAAAAGGUGUGUAAAAACUCUUGAAUAUAUUUCUUUGUGCUGCAAAGUGAGAAAAAAUAGGUGUAUUUGUGAAAAAUUGCAUCAACGGCGACCAGCGAAAUUCUCUGGAGGUGUCAUUCCACAGUUUCCAGGUAUGAAACCGCAGCAAAAAUUGCUACGGGUCCACACCAGAACAUGCUAGAGCACCCUUCAUCGCUAAUCUCCGGAAGUGAACCCCCAUUGCCCAUUCAAAAAGAGCCACGAAUCUGGCGUCCUCCCCACUUCACUGGUGAAGACCGACUGAGCGAUAUCGUCACUUGAAGUUAGCUGUGGUUACAACACCUCUCAAAGUUACACCCCAACUGGACAAUGAUUGGUACUGUUGGCUUAGAAGAGUCUUUGUCGAGACGGGCUUUCUCCCCAACUCCUCUAGGCUCCACAGUCCUACUACAAUACAUUGGUACCACAUCUUUUGAUGGAAAGCAAUACGCACCACUAAUUAAGUGUGAUCGUUUCUUUCCUCAGAUGUCACGAUGAACAGCAUCUUUUUAUUUCAAGUGGUAACAGACCAUCAGAAUGGAUUGUAUGCAAUAUCAUACGGUAUAAGAGAUCCUGGUAAAAGGCAUAUGAAUAUAUCAUUUGUGUUUUGCUGAUUUGUGUUAUAGAAACAAAUUCUAUUAGAUGGACUUAAGCUUGAAAGGCAUUCAAUUGUUCAGAAUAAUUAUAAAAAGCAAUGUAUUUAUUAAAAUCUAUUUUUAAAAUAAAUUUACUGUCUAU